CCAACACGCAUGAUUGGCGCUCAGCGUUGCUGUUUCAAUCAGCAACUUCUUGAUGGACCUAAUGCAUGGUUUUCAUAAAUUAAACACAGGCCUGCCACUUGGCAGCUGAUCCACUUUUCAUGGCUGAUUAAUUAGCUUGACCGAGCAUGACAUUAUUAUAAAUAUCAUGGUCCAUCAUUGUAGAGACACUUUUAAGGAAAUGAAUGUGGUUCUUCUAUUGAGAAAACUCAAGAGCACUCUUCUCACUUUGAAAGUCACGGCUAAGGAUUUCGAAAAGGUCUCCUCUAGCCACCUUCCAAUCAUCCCCGAGGCAUUCUCUUCUUCCAAUCCUUCAUUUACCGUUGCAAUUACAGUUUUCUUCAUCUCAUGAAUCACUUGUUCACUUGUUCCGCUGCGUGUUCUUCCUUUACACCGCUUCAAUUUCAUUCUGUUGCGUUCACAAAUCAUGUUUUCUGACGAGCCAAGGUCAUCGCUUUGUCAUCAAAUGGUAGUCAGAGCUCAAGUUGCGAGCAUGCGUUAGAGAUAAGUAUCUCUAGUGUUGUUCCGUGGUGUUCAUGAACUGUUCGAUUAAAUGUCUAUAAGAGUUAAUCUGAGUUAGUUCUAUUUUAAUAAUCAUUUCUAUUUUGGAUAUUCAAAUCUACAUGCUCAUUCAUGAAUCUCUUGCCCACGUUAGGAAUUCCAGUUCUGUGAUUAUGGUUUGUGAGUAUUAUUCAGUCUUCUUUCAUUUUAAUUGGCGGAUUUGCUUGUUUGAGCUUUUAGUUUGAAAUCUUAUUCAGUUGUGUUUAAGUCAUGUUGUUUGCUUCAAUUGUCAAAGUAUCGCAAGUUUUAACUGGUUGAUUUUCUGUUUUUUCAAUUUGAAUUUUUGAUUUGCGAAGUCUGCACACCAAUUGAGCCCUAAAACUCCUAUGAGAGAGCUCGGUGGCCACUAGCAGUGAAUCUGCUCAACUAAGUUUCACCGAAUUAGCUUAUCUUUGAGCCAUUUUUUAGGAAAAAUCUGUUUGACGUGCCUACUUUCAUUCGACAGCCUUAAUUUUUUUUUGCUUGUCACUUUUAUUGCAACUCUUUCGUCCUGUCAAACUUCAAUUCUGCUAUUUGGUUUAACUUUUUUUUGUUUUUAAAUUGUGAGUUUCUUGCUUUAUUCCUUGGUUGUCCUGGGUUUUUUUGGUGUGAUUUGAAAACUGCAGAACAGCUUUGGAAGAAGAAAGCUUGAGAUUGGUAGCAUAUUAGGUGGUAGUGACCUUUAAGAAUCUGUAGACGUGGUCUGUCAAAGCUGAAGUACCACUAAAUUGAUCAUUUUAAAAGCCAAAACAGCAACGUGAUUAUCAGUUUUGAGAGACAUGCACUGCUUCUUUAAUUCAAACACCGCACUCAAGAGAUAGCAAACUCCAAACAAUAGAGAGCAUACUAGUUUUGAGAGAAUUGUGUGGCUAUGUUACCCUAACUUUUCCUAGUGUGGUUGUUGGUUGUGUAGAAUUGUCUUGGAAGAAGUUCUCUAUCUAGUGGUAGCAUCUUAGGAAGUGGGAGCUUUCAAGAAUCUCAGUUCCAGAAGACUGCAAAUGACCAAAUUGGUGAGAGUUGAUAGCAAAACAGUAAGAGAAAAGCACUACAGCAGAAUGCAGCUGUCCAUGAGUUGAAAAUAGCUUGUAAGCCAGGAUCAAAAUCAACAAUAUGCAAUUUGGUCUGAUAGCAACAACAACAUGGGAUAUCUUGAUGAAAUUUGAGAGUAAUACAGGAGAAAGAAGAGUCAAACAGCAGAAAGUUCUGGACAUAAAAUGUGAAAUCAGAGAGAGUGUGGCUAAUUCUGAAAUUUGUUUUAGUUGUAAAAUUUCUUUUGUUUUUUUUUUAAAGGCCUUUCAUACCAAGUGAAGAAACUUGUGAGUUAAAAGCUUGCAUGUGAAGAAACUUUGUUCCUCAUUCAUUUGAGAAAAUCCAAUAGUUUUAAAGAAGAAAAGGAAUUCAUUAAAGGUUUAGAUGAGUUUUCUCGUAAGGAAGCUGAGUUUGAAGAAAAAUUUGAAAUGCUCUUGAGUGAGAAAAAAAAAAGAGAGAUCGGAA
RNAcentral lists this small RNA (2052 nucleotides) under Vigna angularis var. angularis. Its description in RNAcentral is "Non-protein coding transcript". Lineage: Eukaryota; Viridiplantae; Streptophyta; Magnoliopsida; Fabales; Fabaceae. The record is from RNAcentral.